GGCCCUAGACGCGCCCCGCAAGCA
Molecule: transfer RNA, 24 nt
Filed under: Pomatomus saltator
Lineage: Eukaryota; Metazoa; Chordata; Actinopteri; Scombriformes; Pomatomidae
Description: partial tRNA-Phe
Source: RNAcentral